UUAACCGGGAAGUGUCAGGGUAAAUCCGAAACAAAAAUGGUUUCUUCCAUCUGAUCUCUGAAAUCUCCCACCACUACUUUGUUAGGGUUUAAUCAAUCAAGGAUUAGGGUUUUCUUUUGUAUCCUUAAGAAAUCGAUUGAGUAUCCUAUCCUUCUGUGCAAACACUAACAAGCCAGUGAGCUAGUGUGUUGAGAUUAUGGCAGUUGAUGAAACAGUGAAGAUAAAGCUAUACUCUACUAGAUUGCUCGGGGGAGUAAGUCAGAGGUACAGACUCAGAUGUGCCUAUUGCAAUCUUUCCUAUCCGUACCUUUCAAAAUGGAUUAGUCAAACACUGGUGUUUGUCGAGAAUUGGAAAUCCUAACCUCUUUUUAUCAGUUCACACUUUUUUAGGUUGCUUGGGAGAUGAAUACUGGAGGUACUGACUCAGGGGUUUGUAUUGGAAUCCUUCCUACAAGUGAAACAGUCAUCUAUCCUUACCUUUCAAAAUGGAUUAGUGAAACAGUGGUGCAAUCUUAAUUGUUGACAAUUUGGCAAUCUUAUUCUCUUUAUCGGGAAUCACUGAGGUUCCUUUGCGAGAAGGGCAUCCAGAUUUUCCAACAGCAGAAUAAGCCGAUGAAGAGGUAAGGGUUUCACAUAACCAGAAUUCUGUUAUUUCUUUGUUUUCUCAUUUCUCUUUCUUGUUUACUUCCUUAUCAGGUACUAAUUGUUUACCUUUUAAUGAGAAUCGUGCACAUAUAUUUAUUUCCGCAUAUCUGAGUCUUUUAACACAGUUAGAUAAUUAUGGCCAACCGAAAUAAUGACUCGGCUGAAGUUUUGCACUACCCUUUACUUACAUGUUUUAUGCUUGUUGUGGGGUUCUUUUGCGAUAAGGGUAUACAGCAUGCCACAGAAACUAACCUUAUUGUAUGGGUACAAAUGUACAGUAUAUUGCCUAGUACUAGACAUGCCAGGAAUGACAAGCCUCAUAGGUAGUCUUGUUUGAAAUCAGCCUCUUUGACUAAUCACUUGCAACAGCUAUUUGUCAUUUUCAAAAUAGUCACUUCCGUUAGAGCUAUGUAUGCAUCCCACUCAUGUCAGAUAUGUAGAUCUAGAGACAAGAAGCAGAUCGCCACGUCAGUGAUCAUAUACUAUAAUUUUCUCAAAUUGAACAGUAUUCCGACCUUAGCUCAGUUGGUAGAGCGGAGGACUGUAGUAGUUUGCAGCUUAAUCCUUAGGUCACUGGUUCGAAUCCGGUAGGUCGGAAUUAUCUUUUAUGUCGUGCAACUUUCAAAGUGUAAGAAAAGGCCGCUCCAGGUAACUGUACUUCUUUUGUGAAUUUUAUAAACUUUGUUGUGCGAUUUGCUUAGACUUUGCUCGCAAUUGCACAGAUACCAAAAUUUAGUAUGGGUUUAAACGUACGGUAUUUUGACUAAUGCUAUAUGUGCCAGGCAAUGACAAGCCGUAUAGGUAAUCUUGUUUGAAAUCAGCCUCUUUGACUUCCAACGGCUAUAUGUCAUUUUCAGAAUAGUUGCUAAAUGUAGAGCUAUGCCGCUACGUCCGAGCAUGCAUGAUAUUCCUCGGCAAUAUGCAUGAUAUUAUAGAUAAGAAGCUGAUAUAUGAUAAUUCCUCGAAUUGAACAGUGUUGCGACCUUAGCUCAGUUAGUAAAGCGGAGGACUGUAGUGGUUUGCAGCUUAAUCCUUAGUAUAGACUUUUGUUAGUAUAGACUUUUUGCUUAGAUUUUGCUCGGACACCAGCGAAUCAAGCCAGAUCAUGAAGGCGAAGGCGCUGCAGUAUGAAAUUUAGGUUUGCACAUGGAGAGCCAUACAGAUUCAUGACACUACGACAGCAAAGAAAUGAACCUUAUUGUAUGGGUACAAGUAUCUUGCCUAGUACGGGAUAUGUUAUGCCUUAUAGUAGUCUUCAUUCGAAAUAAGCCUCUUUGAAUGAUCACCUGCAUAUUUUUCAGAUUGCAACAUUGAAAGUAUUGAAUAUGCGACUGCCUGACAUAUGACAGACAUGGUUUUAACCAUCUAAGUGAAUAUGUACGUUAAUCCCUCAGAACAGACAAAUUCCGACCUUAGCUCAGUUGGUAGAGCGGAGGACUGUAGUAGUUUGCAGCUUGAUCCUUAGGUCAGGUCACUGGUUCGAAUCCGGUAUGUCGGAAUCAUUUUUUUUUUCCUUCUCAAAACAUUUUCUGGUUUUGCACUACCCUUUGCUUACAAGUUUGAGGUUCCUUUGCGCAUUUUCUGGUUUUGCACUACCCUUUGCUUACAAGUUUGAGGUUCCUUUGCGGGUUGCGCAUCCAGAUUUUCCAACAACAGAAGAUGCCAAUGAAGAGGUAAGGUUUAUAAGAUUGCAUUACUCAUUCCUCAGAGCAGUUGUACUACUCAUUUAAAUUCUCUUCAUUUUUGGCAAUGGCAGAUGGUGAACCGGAAGAAAAGUAAGAAUGAAAAGUUUGUUGGGGGAUCUAUGGAUUUCAAACACCUUGUAAUGUGUCAUUGGGCCAUAUCUUACUUCUUGUUGUCUGUUCAACAUGUCAGGCCUUGGGUUCCGAGGUGUAACUUCAUAACUUCAUGAAGAUGACCAUAAGCUCACAAGACAUCUUUGCGUGUGUAUCAUUGUAUGUGUGCUGUUUCUAAAUUUUAAAUAUAUGUACUCCUACUGUUGGAAUAUGCGGAAAUUCCGAGCCUUA
This is a long non-coding RNA of Papaver somniferum (opium poppy), 2672 nucleotides long. RefSeq lists it as uncharacterized. The record is from RefSeq and is a predicted model, not a curated record. NCBI's taxonomy places the organism in Eukaryota, Viridiplantae, Streptophyta, Magnoliopsida, Ranunculales, Papaveraceae. The transcript is spliced from 4 exons.